GAGCAGAUGAGGCAGGCAAGAAAAGGAAGGGAGCAUCCUGACCAAGGGCCAGGCCUCCAGCCAGCUGGGAUUGGCCCAGGAAAUCUCCCCGACCCGACAGUGGAAAGAUGGGGUAGAAGAAAAGCAACUGUUCAUCACCCCCUCCAAAUGCAUAAAGAAAAGAAGGGUCUCUGCUAUCUGGAAUCAAACUCCAGCCUGAAUCUGGAAGCGGCACACUUUCUAAAUCUGGACUAUGAUGGUCUGCAGCCCAGUCACCAACCAAAUACAGAAAGGAAACUUUAUCACUUUAUUUUUCCCAAGGAAGGCUGUUCUUUAAAACAACAUCAGAUCAAUGUUACACUUGGUUUGGAGAACCGCACUGUCUGCUUUCCUUCCAUGACCAACUUUCAC
Molecule: long non-coding RNA, 390 nt
Filed under: Heterocephalus glaber (naked mole-rat)
Lineage: Eukaryota; Metazoa; Chordata; Mammalia; Rodentia; Bathyergidae
Description: lncRNA (ENSHGLG00100048305.1)
Source: RNAcentral